ACGCACGCUGGCGGCGCGCCUCACCCAUGCAAGUCGCACGAGCGAGAGAGAGCUUGCUUUCUUGAGCGAGUGGCGAACGGGUGAGUAACGCGUGAGGAACCUGCCUCAAAGAGGGGGACAACAGUUGGAAACGACUGCUAAUACCGCAUAAGCCCACGACCCGGCAUCGGGUUGAGGGAAAAGGAGCAAUCCGCUUUGAGAUGGCCUCGCGUCCGAUUAGCUAGUUGGUGAGGUAACGGCCCACCAAGGCGACGAUCGGUAGCCGGACUGAGAGGUUGAACGGCCACAUUGGGACUGAGACACGGCCCAGACUCCUACGGGAGGCAGCAGUGGGGAAUAUUGCACAAUGGGGGAAACCCUGAUGCAGCGACGCCGCGUGGAGGAAGAAGGUCUUCGGAUUGUAAACUCCUGUUGUUGAGGAAGAUAAUGACGGUACUCAACAAGGAAGUGACGGCUAACUACGUG
Molecule: ribosomal RNA, 465 nt
Filed under: uncultured bacterium
Lineage: Bacteria
Description: partial 16S ribosomal RNA
Rfam family: Bacterial small subunit ribosomal RNA
Source: RNAcentral